This 568-nucleotide long non-coding RNA is filed under the name Homo sapiens (human). Its description in RNAcentral is "non-protein coding lnc-FGFR1OP-9:1". The record is from RNAcentral. Lineage: Eukaryota; Metazoa; Chordata; Mammalia; Primates; Hominidae.
AUAAUUUGUUCUUCAAGUGUGACUUAACUGAUGGAACCAGAGGGAAAAAACUUUCUGGAACUAGACAAUAAGAAUAAAUCAGAUCAAAUAGCAUGCUAUUAUGAAAUGUGAAGCAAAGCAAUAUAUUACAUUUAAUCAUGGAUGUCAAAUUUUCAAAGCAUAUUUACUCUGAAAAAGGAAAAGAAAAAAACCCAUGAGCUUACACACACACUCACAUGCACACACAUACACACACAUGCACACACAUACUCCUAUACACGUGGAUAUUAGGCUGCUUACUUGAGCUGUCUUACAAUUAUUUAUCUUAAAAAGAUAAGCAAGGCAUUUUAGACUUCUGAGAUUUUACUACAUAACUGAGCUGCUUUACUUUAGAUAAGCCCUUCUGCAUUACAAAUAAUAGUUUAAUAUUACAUUAACAGUUAAUUUUGGCUGGGCUCGGUGGCUCACACCUGUAAUCCCAGCACUUUGGGAGGCUGAGGCAGGCUGAUCACCUGAGGUCAGGAGGUCAAGACCAGCCCUACCAACAUGGUUAAACCCAGUCUCUACUAAAAAUAAAAAAAAAAAUUAG